RNAcentral lists this ribosomal RNA (268 nucleotides) under uncultured bacterium. Its description in RNAcentral is "partial 16S ribosomal RNA". It matches the Rfam family "Bacterial small subunit ribosomal RNA", at positions 524 to 776 of the family's 1533-position model. The record is from RNAcentral.
UACGGAGGGCGCGAGCGUUGUCCGGAAUCACUGGGCGUAAAGGGCGCGUAGGCGGCCGAGGGCAGUCGCUGGUGAAAGCCCGGGGCUCAACCCCGGGUCGGCCAGCGAUACUCCCCGGCUCGAGCACUGUAGGGGCGGGCGGAAUUCCGGGUGUAGCGGUGGAAUGCGUAGAGAUCCGGAAGAACACCGGUGGCGAAGGCGGCCCGCUGGGCAGGGAGACCGCAAGGUCGGCUGACGCCGAGGCGCGGCAGCGUGGGGAGCAACCAGG